UACAGAGGGUGCGAGCGUUAAUCGGAAUUAUUGGGCGUAAAGGGUGCGUAGGUGGUUGAAUAAGUUAUCUGUGAAAACCCUGGGCUUAACUUGGGGGAGAGAGAUAAAACUGUUUGACUAGAGUAUGGGAGAGGGUAGUGGAAUUUCCGGUGUAGCGGUGAAAUGCGUAGAGAUCGGAAGGAACACCGGUGGCGAAGGCGGCUACCUGGCCUAAUACUGACACUGAGGCACGAAAGCGUGGGGAGCAAACAGG
RNAcentral lists this ribosomal RNA (253 nucleotides) under uncultured bacterium. RNAcentral's name for it is "partial 16S ribosomal RNA". It matches the Rfam family "Bacterial small subunit ribosomal RNA", at positions 524 to 776 of the family's 1533-position model. The record is from RNAcentral.